UCUGCAGAGGCUUCCUUGGCU
This 21-nucleotide microRNA is filed under the name Mus musculus (house mouse). RNAcentral's name for it is "mmu-miR-12201-3p". The record is from miRBase by way of RNAcentral. Lineage: Eukaryota; Metazoa; Chordata; Mammalia; Rodentia; Muridae.